CCCAAAUGAAUAAUAAAGUGUGUCAAAGCUGACCUAUGCGGUCUCUUAAUUUAGAUGUUCCGCUAUUUGACACAGUGCACCCCAACCGCCACCAAACCUCACUUUCCACUCUAUCGGUCUCCCCCAUAACACAGGAAAGGAAUUCUCUAAUGUAGGUUUACUAAGGCAAAGAGGAACUCCAGGAGUUUCGCUUCGCGGGUCAUCUGUGGCUUUCUCUUAUGUUCUCAAACAUCUGGCGACCGGUGAAAAGCGAUUCGCACAGGAAUUAACUGUUCUGUUUCAUCAGUAACUGAUGCACCUGUAAGUUUACGUGCCCCCUUACCUAUUGCCCUUAGCUGUCGCUGCACCACACUCAACGCACGGAUGAAAAAGCCUUUGAACUGGGAGUGCAAUUCAGACAAGCUGCGGUGUGGUUGGAUUCGCCUGGUAGUUUAUUUUACACUCUGUAUCUGCUUCAGUAAGCCUUAAAAAGGCGAAGGUAACCGUCUUGGCUGUAAGCCCAAUUUUGAACACGAAAGAAAUUGACUUCUCCUCCCCCAAGUCCAUGCCUUUUGUAAUUUGCUCUCGCGUUGUUGUUUGUGUCUGAAGCCACCCGAUGACCAGCCCAGGGACUUCACCUCGUCCUUGAGACCAGCACAACACACCAGAAAUAAAGCAUCCGACCCUCCUUACCCCCCUAACGUCGCAGCGGUCAUCCUUCUUUGAGAGACGCCGAGAACGAAACCAGCGAGAAUCGGGUUCAGCUGCUCUCUGAUGGGCUGUGGGUCCAGUGUUGACGAGCCAUCCUCUCUCUCUCUCUCGGCCCGUUUGUAGAGGGGAUGAAAGGAGAGUGGGAGAGGUGAGGAGUUGCUUUGACAGCUAAAUUAGGGGUCCAGAGGGGACUGAAAUCUUAAAUCUUCUGCUGAGGAGGCAGUCACAUUUCAGAAAGUCUGUCAGAAACACCUCUUUGGGAAAAGCUCCCUUUCACACAGAACCAUCAUUACAAAGGAAUGAAGACAGCUGAGCCUGAGGACAGGUAAGAACUGAUCUCAAGUCAUCUGGACACUCGUUCUAUUUACACCUAUGCACAGGUGAUACUGAUAGUUACACACAUUUACCUGCACACAGGUCCUAUCUACACCUGUGCUCAGGUGAUACUGAUCCCCAGUCAGAUCCACACUGGUUCUACUAACACCUUCACA
Long non-coding RNA from Clupea harengus (Atlantic herring), 1181 nucleotides. The record is from Ensembl. Lineage: Eukaryota; Metazoa; Chordata; Actinopteri; Clupeiformes; Clupeidae.